Molecule: ribosomal RNA, 636 nt
Filed under: Trichodes apiarius
Lineage: Eukaryota; Metazoa; Arthropoda; Insecta; Coleoptera; Cleridae
Description: eukaryotic LSU rRNA
Rfam family: Eukaryotic large subunit ribosomal RNA
Source: RNAcentral
GGAGUCUAGCAUGUGCGCGAGUCAUUGGGAAUAACUAAACCUAAAGGCGCAAUGAAAGUGAAGGUCCGCCUUGCGCGGACCGAGGGAAGAUGGGCGUGCACGCUUGCGUGCCGCUCCGCACUCCCGGGGCGUCUCGUUCUCAUUGCGAGAAGAGGCGCACCAAGAGCGUACACGCUGGGACCCGAAAGAUGGUGAACUAUGCCUGGUCAGGACGAAGUCAGGGGAAACCCUGAUGGAGGUCCGUAGCGAUUCUGACGUGCAAAUCGAUCGUCGGAACUGGGUAUAGGGGCGAAAGACUAAUCGAACCAUCUAGUAGCUGGUUCCCUCCGAAGUUUCCCUCAGGAUAGCUGGCGCUCGUCGCCUACGAGUCUCAUCCGGUAAAGCGAAUGAUUAGAGGCAUUGGGGUCGAAACGGCCUCAACCUAUUCUCAAACUUUAAAUGGGUGAGAUCUCCGGCUUGCUCGAACUUAUGAAGCCGCGAGACACGGAUCAGAGUGCCAAGUGGGCCAUUUUUGGUAAGCAGAACUGGCGCUGUGGGAUGAACCAAACGCCGAGUUAAAGCGCCUAAAUCGACGCUUAUGGGAUACCAUGAAAGGCGUUGGUAACUUAAGACAGCAGGACGGUGGCCAUGGAAGUC